This 6155-nucleotide long non-coding RNA is filed under the name Sus scrofa (pig). RNAcentral's name for it is "lncRNA (ENSSSCG00065027869.1)". Lineage: Eukaryota; Metazoa; Chordata; Mammalia; Artiodactyla; Suidae. The record is from RNAcentral.
AUAUGGAAGUUCCCAGGCCAGAUAUCGAACCUGAGCCACAGAAGUAACAAUGUCAUAUCCUUAACCACUAGGCCAUCAGGGAACUCCCUGUGUAUACCUUUAGAUAUGAAGGGAGUGCCUUAUAGGCAGCAUAUACAUAGGUCUUAUUUUUUCAUUCAUUUUUCCACUUUUUGUCUUUCAAUGAAGGGUACAGUCCAUUUACAUUUAAAGUAAAUAUUGAUAGCUAUGUAUUUAUCUCCCUUUGGUUAAUUGUUUGGGGGUUAUUUUGUAGUUCUUCUCUGUUUCUUUCUUCAACUUUUAUUCCCUCCCUUUGUGAAUUGAUAACUAUCUUUAGGUUAAGGUUUGAUAUCUCUCAUUUUUUGUGUGUGUGAGUACCUAUUAUAGGUUUUUUGGUUUGUAAUUUACAUAUAUAUGAUUAUUUUAAGUUGAUGAUCUCAAUUUUGAAUGCAUUAUAACCAUUCUACAAUUUUUACAAUGCCUCCUCACAUGUAAUAUUUAUUGUGAAUGUAAAUUAUUUGACUAAUUUUAUCUUUAAGCUUACUACUAGUUUUAUAGGUCAUUGAUCUACUGUCUUUAUGGUAUGUUUAUCUUUACCAAUGAGAUUUUUUUCUUUUAUAAUUUUUAUAUUUACAGUCAGAGCCUCUUCUUUUCUGCUUAGUGAAGUCCAUUUAAUAUUUCUUAUAAAACCAGUUUUGUGGUACUGAACUCUUUUAUCUUUUCCUUGACUGUAAAAUUCUUUAUCUCUCCUUCAAAUUUGAAUAAUAACCUUGCCAGGCGGAGUAAUCUUGUUGCAGGCUUCUUCCUUUCUAUGUUAACUAUAUUAUGCCACCCUCUUUGGGAUUACAAAGUUUCUGCUGAAAAGUCAGCUUAUAGUCUAACUGGAGUUCCCUUGUACAUAGUUGCUUUUCUAUUGCUGCUUUUAUUUUUAUUUUUAUUUCUUGCUUUUUAGGGCCACACCCAGGGCAUAUGGAAGUUCCCAGGCCAGGGGUCAAAUUGCAGCUACAGCUGCCAGCCUACACAACAGCCAGGCAGCAAGGCAGGAUCUGAGCCAUGUCUGUGAUCUAUGCCUCGGCUCACAGCAAUGCCAGAUCCCCAACCCACUGAGUGAGGCCAGGGAUACAACCUGCAUCCUCAUAUAUACUAGUUGGAUUCAUUUCUGUUGCACCACAACAGGAACUCUCUCUCUUGCUGCUUUUAAGGUUCUCUCUUUAAUUUUUGCCAGUGUAAUUAUAAUGUCUUGGUGUAGACUUCUUUGCAUUCAUUUCCUUUAGGACUCUCUCCAUUUUCUGGUUCUUAUCUGUUGUUUCCCCAAGUUAUAUAAUUUUUCAGUUAUGAUUUCUUCAAAUAAUUCUCUUUCCCUUCCUUUCUCUCUUCUCAUUAUGGGACACCUACAAUGCUAAUGUUGGUAGGUUUGAUACUGUCCCAGAGCUCUCUGGCAUCAUUCUCAUUUGUCUUAAUUCUUUUUUCUUUCUAUUCAGUUUGUAUGAUUUUCACUUCUCUGUUUUCCAGUUCACUGAUCCAUUUCUCUGUCUCUAAUAUAGAGUUAGAUCCCUUCCAGUGUUUUUUAUUUUAGUUAUUGUGCUCAUAAGCUCCACUCUUUUUUUUUUCUUUAUAUUUUUUUAACUCUCUGUUGAAAAUCUCAUUGUGUUCAACCACUCUUCUCCUAUGUCCUGUGGGUUCUGUUCAAGAAGGGGUCUCAAUCAUAGUUGCUGAGCUCAGGCCCAUCUGAUGGUGGCAUGUCUGGCCCAUGAAUGACUUGGUCACUUAGGAGCCAAGUCAUGGAGAGCUGAAGAAACUUCUGGGGAGAAGACACACACAUCAAGUUGGGAGCUGGGAUCCUCAAAAGGUGAUGUGUGAAGGAGUUAGGAGGCCUCAGGCAGAAUGCACACAAAGUCUAGGAGGAAAUGCCAAUAUCCAAAGGAACCUAGGAAUAGCUACUCAAUGAUUAAGGAGGGAGAAGUGGUUACUUUAACUAAACUUUGCAUUUUGAGAUAAUUAUAGAGUCUAUGUAGCUGUAGGGAAUGGUAUAGAAAUAUUCAACAUGCCCUUGUUCCUAGUCCCCUUAGUGGUAAUGUCUUGCAAGAUUAUGGUACAAAAUCAAGCAGGAUAUUAACACUGAUACAGUCAAGAUGCAAAACAUUUUAUCCCCACGAAAAUCCCUUGUAUUUCCUUUAUAACUACAUCCACUUACCCUUGAUCUCAUCCCUUCUUUUAACUCCUGGGAACCGCUAAUUUUUCUACUUUCUAUAAUUAUUUUUUCCAUUUUAAGAAUGUCAUAUAAAUAGGAUCAUGCAAUAUGUAGCCUUUGCAAGUUGACUUUUCAUGACUCAGUAAAAUUCUCUGGAGAUUCAUCAAGGCCAUUGCAUGUAUCAAUGGUUUGUUCCUUUUAUUACUGAGCAGCAUCUCACAGUUCAUUUAACCAUUCACCCAUUAAGGACCUCUAAGUUAUUUUUUAGCUAUUAUGAACAAAGUUGCUUUAAACACUCAUGUACAUGUUUUUGUGUGAACACAAAUUUUCACGUCUCUGGGGUGGAUGAAGAAAAGUGCAGCUGCUGAGUCAUGGAUGGUAUUACAAGAAACUUCCAAACUAUCUUCCAGAGUGGCUGUUCCAUUGUACAUUCUCAAUAGUAAUGUUUGAAUGAUCCAGUUUCUCUACAUUCCCACUAGCGUUUGGUGUGUUCAUCACAUUUUUUUUCAUUUAAGCCAUUCUUAUAGGUAAGUAAUGAUAUCUCCUUGUGGUCUUAAUAUGCAUGUUUGUUGUUGACAAAUGAUGUUUAACCUUAUAUGACAUCUAUCUAACCUUUGAAAUAAAAAUGUCUCUUCAUGUCAAUUGUCCAGGUUGCUGAAAACUGAAGAAGUUUAUAUUAUGGAAUCUUUCUAAAGUCAUUGCAUGUGAAUAUCCAAUAAACUCUAUAAGUAUAGUACAUAUGUUAUCAAUCUGUUCAAAACUCACAAAUGUGGCACAGACCCACUUUCCCAGCAAUAGCACAGUUAUCAGCUGAAUUUAAGUUUCUGACUAGUGUCUCUAAGUGCCAUUUAUUUUAAUUUCCAGUAUAACAUAAUACAGUGAAAUAUCUAAGACUGAGCCUGAAAUGGUCCUUAUGUAGAGAUUGUGAAAUAUACAUUCACUCUUCUGAUUUCAUAACUUUUGCCAUGUAUUCCAUGAUGAUUUUUAUGGACCAACAAGAAUCUUGUGUUUUCCAAUUUCAUUUCUGAACUCAUUCCCCUACUACUUUCCUACACAAAUUCUUCCUAUUAUGGCCCUUAUCCAUCCAGCCCUCUACCAUAAUUAGGAUGGCAGACUGUGUUUUCAAAGAAGAUAUCACAGCAGUAUUUCCAGUCCUACAUUCCCAUCUAGAACAUUGCCAUUCUCCACCAACAUAUUUCCCUUUGGACCAUAGCAUUAUGACCACUUUGAUGAGUAGAUGGACACAACUGUUACCACGUACCUUCCAAGGCCAGGUCAUAAAAGGUGAUGCAGCUGACACUUGGGUCUCUAAGGAUGCCCUGUCUUAGAACUCAGUCAUCACCUGGUGAAGAGGCACAAAUAGCAUGUAAGCACCCUCAGCAGCAGCCUAUCUGAAGCCUUAGCCUACAGCAGCAUUAAUGAUCAGACAUGGGAACAAGCGAGCUUUUAGAUAAUUCCAGCUUCCCAGCUUUAAGUCUCUCAGUGGAGGCUGCAGGUAUGAGGAAGCAGAAGCAGCCAUUGCUGAUACGCUCUGCCUGAAACCCUGAUCUAGGAAAUCUGUAACACUUGGUUGUGAAGCCACUAGAUUUUAGGGUAAUUUUUUUAGGUAUCUGUGGCAAUUCUAUUAUUUUCUCACAUACUAUGAAAACUGGAGCACCAUUUUCUAAAAUAUGUUUCACAGAUUUUACAUUAAUUUUCAGUGGUGAAAUAACUGAGAAACACUAGGGGUAGCAUUCAACAUGAAGAAGAUCUAAUUUGAAGCAUGUCUCGGUUGCCCCCAAAUUUUAGACUAUGGAAACAUUCUCCCAACAUUUUAUCUUAAUACUUCCGUAAAAUAAACUUUGGGAAAUUCUUUUUUUUUAUUUUUAGGGUCGCACCCACAGCAUAUGGAAGUUCCCUGGGCUAAGGGUCAUAUCCGAGCUGCAGCCACAGCAAUGCUGGAUCUGAGCCUUAUCUACAAACUAUACAUACUGCAGCUUGUGACAAUGUCAGAUCCUUAACCCACUGAGCGAGGCCAGGGAUCGAACCCCUGUCCUCAGGGACAAUGUGUCGGGUUCUUGACCUGCUGAGACACAAAGGGAAUCCCAGGAAACUCUUUAAUUAGCUUCCCUCUCUCCCUGUAAACUUUAGCGAGAACAGACAGGAAAUUACUAGUAAAAAUCUAUGUUGUAAGUCAGAGAGUGCAUUUACCAAUAUUCCUUGGGCUGUAUAUUCCUCUGUAGAAACAAUGUCAUCGAGGCAAUGGCAGGGGGCAAGGGGUGUAGCAUCAGCAAGGGAGGAUGGAAUCCAAGGGAAGGGAAGAAGAUGGCAGGUCUGGCCUGGCAGGGGUAGAUCCAGUUGCUCACCUAGGGUACCAGUUGUCCAUAAUAGCACCAAAGGACAUGGCUAUCUCCCUUCCCAUCUCCCCUUGCCUGGAGAGUGUUCUCGGAUAUCUUCCUCUCAUCAGCAAUCAUCAUAAGAUGUUCACAAAGUCCUAACUUCUGGGAGGUUCUGUGGAUAAGUAAAACUCAGGCUCUAUCCUUGAGAAAGUUACCAAACAAGUGUGGUAGACCUUUUACAAAAAUGGCCUUUAUUGUCAUCCCUUUGCAAUAUGAUGCAACUCCCGCCUUCUGUGUCUGGCAUGUCUUGAGUCUUUCUUCAAUGUGGCAGAAAUGACACUAUAGACUUUCAAACCCCAGCUUCAGCAGGUCUUGGGGGCUACUGUUCUCGUUCCUGGAACCCCAUCAGUUGCAGUGUAAAUAAGCCCAGGCUAGCAGGUUGAAUGGGGGUGGGGGUGGGGACAGGAGCCAGUUCUUCUGUCUCCCAACCAACAGCCACAUAGGGAGGCCAUCUCGAAAUCAGCCAGACCCCAGGCUGUACACUAACUGCAGACCCACAGCUGUGCCCACCCUAUAGCUUUGGUAACAGAACCACCCCGCUGAAUCUUGGAUUCAAAAUCAAUAAUAAAUGACUGUGGUUUUAAGCCACUACCUUUUGAGGUGGUGGCUUAAGCAGUGAGUGUUAGCUGAUCCAAGGGGAAAGAAGUGUAAACAGAUCAGAUAAGGGCAGUAUGAGAGGUAAGCUCAGGAUCCCUGCAGCACCAAGUAGGCUAACUAAUCCAUCCUAUGUAGAUAAAUCUCAAGGAACACUUAGCAGUAACCUAGUGGUGAGUGUAUCACCAGCAGAGUAGACGUGGCAUCAGAAACACACAGCUACACAAGAAGAGCCAAACAUGUACAAGGAAAUAAAAGCAGGAGCUUUCAACAUACGGAGUUUUCAGGAUAUCAAGCUUCAAGGGAAGCAGAGGGUCUCCCUGAUAAGAAGCCUGCACACUGCGAGGCCCACACCAGCCCCCACCCCCUGAGGCUGACCACUGCUCUCUAUUCAUAACUGGUGCUCACUGCCCUGGCUUUCCUGGCUCCUUGUUAUCUUCCUUAUCUCUGCCUCCUUCUGGGGGGUUGGCAGUGGGCCCACCUUGUACAUGUGUCAGCUGUCAGACCGCUUUCUCAUCCAAGGAUCCCAGAUCUGUUUCCAUCUCUGUAACAUCUCAGAAUUGCAAUGACAGCAGUUAAUAAAAGAACUGUUAAUUCACCUCAACCAUACAUGCCAGCAUCAGUUCUUUGUAAGACAGUGUGCUCUCUGCUUUCAUGCACAUGGUGGGAUAAAGAUAUCAGAAACCGGGUCUGGGGCCCUGGGGUCUCAAGCUUCAGCUUCUGGUGGGCAUAUGGCUGUGUAUCCAAAACAAACCCAAGCAGCCCUGCCUCCUGGACGGGGGAGCUGGACCUACUGAAACACUGAAAAUGCCAGCUCACUCAGCAGUCCUACAUUCAGGUUCUGGGCCUGUAACUUUGGAACAUUCCAAAUCUGCAGAAAUUCCCUGCUUCUCAUAGCUUCAGCUUCUACACUUAUAAAAUAGGGGUAUAAGUAAUUUUAUGUCAUAGCAAUUAAUUUUAAUUGAAGUAGCCAUAGGACUAGCAGCAACCUUCCU